AGUUCAUAAUAACUUGACCUUAUUAGACACCUGUAAUCCUUGAUGCAGGUUGAGGAAAUCUGUGGGAAAUCGUCCUUCCCAUGAACUUGUGAAAGCGUCAAUGAUGUUGUUUAACUCUUGUAGAUGUGGGCGUUGUAGCAUUGUUUACACGGACCAUCUGAUUCAAACUAUUUUGUGUAUAUUUUCAACAGUUACCCUGUAGAAGAAAACAGAGCUUUGCGGCAGUAAAUAAUUGAACAGGAAUUGACCUCAUGUCAAACUGAUAAAUGGCCGGG
Brassica oleracea var. oleracea is the source of this 275-nucleotide long non-coding RNA. RefSeq lists it as uncharacterized. The transcript is spliced from 2 exons. The record is from RefSeq and is a predicted model, not a curated record. Lineage: Eukaryota; Viridiplantae; Streptophyta; Magnoliopsida; Brassicales; Brassicaceae.